Molecule: ribosomal RNA, 253 nt
Filed under: uncultured bacterium
Lineage: Bacteria
Description: partial 16S ribosomal RNA
Rfam family: Bacterial small subunit ribosomal RNA
Source: RNAcentral
GACAGAGGGGGCAAGCGUUGCUCGGAAUCACUGGGCGUAAAGGGCGCAUAGGCGGGAUGGCAAGUCGGUCGUGAAAUCCUUCGGCCCAACCGAAGAACGUCGGCCGAUACUGCCGUUCUUGAGGGAUGCAGAGGAGACUGGAAUUCCCGGUGUAGCGGUGAAAUGUGUAGAGAUCGGGAGGAACACCGGUGGCGAAGGCGGGUCUCUGGGCAUUUCCUGACGCUGAGGCGCGAAAGCGUGGGGAGCAAACGGG